GACAGAGGGUGCGAACGUUGCUCGGAAUCACUGGGCGUAAAGCGCGCGUAGGCGGACCGGAAAGUCGGUUGUGAAAUCCCUGGGCUCAACCCAGGAACUGCAUCCGAAACUCCCGGUCUCGAGUGACGGAGAGGAUAGUGGAAUUCCCGGUGUAGAGGUGAAAUUCGUAGAUAUCGGGAGGAACACCGGUGGCGAAAGCGACGUGCUGGACCCUUUCUGACGCUGAGGCGCGAAAGCCAGGGGAGCAAACGGG
RNAcentral lists this ribosomal RNA (253 nucleotides) under uncultured bacterium. RNAcentral describes it as "partial 16S ribosomal RNA". It matches the Rfam family "Bacterial small subunit ribosomal RNA", at positions 524 to 776 of the family's 1533-position model. The record is from RNAcentral.